CACGUGGGGUGCGAGCGUUGUCCGGAAUUAUUGGGCGUAAAGAGCUCGUAGGCGGUGUGUCGCGUCGGCCGUGAAAACCUGCAGCUUAACUGUGGGCGUGCGGUCGAUACGGGCAUCACUGGAGUUCGGCAGGGGAGACUGGAAUUCCUGGUGUAGCGGUGAAAUGCGCAGAUAUCAGGAGGAACACCGGUGGCGAAGGCGGGUCUCUGGGCCGAUACUGACGCUGAGGAGCGAAAGCGUGGGGAGCGAACAGG
RNAcentral lists this ribosomal RNA (254 nucleotides) under uncultured bacterium. RNAcentral describes it as "partial 16S ribosomal RNA". It matches the Rfam family "Bacterial small subunit ribosomal RNA", at positions 524 to 776 of the family's 1533-position model. The record is from RNAcentral.